RNAcentral lists this unclassified non-coding RNA (361 nucleotides) under uncultured bacterium. Its description in RNAcentral is "contains 16S-23S intergenic spacer region". The record is from RNAcentral.
UCCCAAGAAAAGGGCAGUCUCGCCUGACACAUGUAACAGACGAUAGGGGUUGCGUUCGUUACCCCACUUAAGGGAACAAUUCAAAUCACGAACUGACGACGGCCAUGCAGCACCUGUCUAACUGCCCGAAGGCCCCAUCCGUUUCCGGUUGGGUUCAGCUAGAUGUCUAGCCUUGGUAAGGUUCUUCGCUUAUCAUCGAAUUAAGCCGCACGCUCCACCGCUUGUGCGAGUCCCCGUCUAUUCCUUUGAGUUUUAAGCUUGCGCUCGUACUACCCAGGCGGAUCGCUUAACGCGUUAGCUUCGCCUCGGAGAGGGUCGAUACUCCCCAAGGCUAGCGAUCAACGUUUAGGGCAUGGACUAC